RNAcentral lists this long non-coding RNA (524 nucleotides) under Homo sapiens (human). Its description in RNAcentral is "HSALNT0179250". Lineage: Eukaryota; Metazoa; Chordata; Mammalia; Primates; Hominidae. The record is from RNAcentral.
UUCAUUACAGGAUGUGUACCAAUAACUACAUAAUGAGAAGUUGAAAAUGAGUCCUGUAUAUACUAAUAUGAACAGGAGACAGGAAAAUACUGAUUAGAAGAGGGCAGUUCCCCAGCAAAGGUGGAAUGAUGUGGUAGAGAAAGAGAGGAGGGAUGUCUGGACACUGGGCCGGCGACAGUCAGGAGCAGAGACCGGCAGCUACGUGGCCCAACUCCAGGGGAAGACCACCUUCCCACUCCAUCCCCCUCUUCCUGCUCCCCAUCCAUCUCGCUGAGAGCCCACCUCCACCACUCAAUAAAACCUGGCACUCAUCCUUUGCACCCACGUGUGAUCUGAUUCUUCUGGGACACUGGGCAAGAGCUCAGGAUACAGAAAGCUGUCACAUGGCCCUCUGCCCUUGUGAAAAAGCAGAGGGUCCAUUGAGCUGAUUAACAUACAAGGUGUCUGAAAAUGGGAAAGCUGAAACAGCUUGGUAACACUGGGGUUGCAGGUAUCCACCCCAAACUAAGUAACACCUAAACCAA